RNAcentral lists this ribosomal RNA (505 nucleotides) under uncultured bacterium. RNAcentral describes it as "partial 16S ribosomal RNA". It matches the Rfam family "Bacterial small subunit ribosomal RNA", at positions 28 to 507 of the family's 1533-position model. The record is from RNAcentral.
GACGAACGCUGGCGGCGUGCCUAAUACAUGCAAGUAGAACGCAUAGUUUAUACCGUAGCUUGCUACACCAUAGACUGUGAGUUGCGAACGGGUGAGUAACGCGUAGGUAACCUGCCUGGUAGCGGGGGAUAACUAUUGGAAACGAUAGCUAAUACCGCAUAAUAUUAAUUAUUGCAUGAUAAUUAAUUGAAAGGUGCAAUUGCACCACUACCAGAUGGACCUGCUUUGUAUUAGCUAGUAGGUGAGGUAACGGCUCACCUAGGCGACGAUACAUAGCCGACCUGUGCAGGUGAUCGGCCACACUUGGACUGUGACACGGCCCAGACUCCUGCGGGAGGCAGCCGUAGGGAAUCUUCGGCAAUGGACGAAAGUCUGACCGAGCAACGCCGCGUGGGUGAAGAAGGUUUUCGGAUCGUAAAGCUCUGUUGUAAGAGAAGAACGGGUGUGAGAGUGGAAAGUUCACACUGUGACGGUAUCUUACCAGAAAGGGACGGCUAACUACGUG